AGAGUUUGAUUUAUGACUCAGGACGAACGCGGCGGCGUGCUUAACACAUGCAAGUCGAGCGGAAAGGCCCUUCGGGGUACUCGAGCGGCGAACGGGUGAGUAACACGUGAGUAAUCUGCCCCUAGCUCUGGGAUAGCUCCGGGACACCGGGAUUAAUACGGGAUACGACCACAUUAGACAUCUUUUGUGGUGGAAAGAAUUUCGGCUAGGGAUGAGCUCGCGGCCUAUCAGCUUGUUGGUGGGGUAACGGCCUACCAAGGCGACGACGGGUAGCCGGCCUGAGAGGGCGACCGGCCACACUGGGACUGAGACACGGCCCAGACUCUUACGGGAGGCAGCAGUGGGGAAUAUUGCGCAAUGGGCGAAAGCCUGACGCAGCGACGCCGCGUGGGGGAUGAAGGCCUUCGGGUUGUAAACCCCUUUCAGCAGGGACGAAGCGAAAGUGACGGUACCUGCAGAAGAAGCGCCGGCUAACUACGUGCCAGCAGCCGCGGUAACACGUAGGGCGCAAGCGUUGUCCGGAAUUAUUGGGCGUAAAGAGCUCGUAGGCGGUCUGUUGCGUCCGCUGUGAAAACUCGGGGCUUAACCCCGAGCCUGCAGUGGAUACGGGCAGACUAGAGGCAGGUAGGGGAGAAUGGAAUUCCCGGUGUAGCGGUGAAAUGCGCAGAUAUCGGGAGGAACACCGGUGGCGAAGGCGGUUCUCUGGGCCUUACCUGACGCUGAGGAGCGAAAGCGUGGGGAGCGAACAGGAUUAGAUACCCUGGUAGUCCACGCCGUAAACGUUGGGCGCUAGGUGUGGGAUCCUUCCACGGAUUCCGUGCCGCAGCUAACGCAUUAAGCGCCCCGCCUGGGGAGUACGGCCGCAAGGCUAAAACUCAAAUGAAUUGACGGGG
RNAcentral lists this ribosomal RNA (893 nucleotides) under uncultured Actinomycetes bacterium. RNAcentral's name for it is "bacterial SSU rRNA". It matches the Rfam family "Bacterial small subunit ribosomal RNA", at positions 8 to 918 of the family's 1533-position model. The record is from RNAcentral. Lineage: Bacteria; Bacillati; Actinomycetota; Actinomycetes.